Molecule: ribosomal RNA, 698 nt
Filed under: uncultured Nitrososphaerota archaeon
Lineage: Archaea; Thermoproteati; Nitrososphaerota
Description: bacterial SSU rRNA
Rfam family: Archaeal small subunit ribosomal RNA
Source: RNAcentral
GGUAAUGACUUAAAUCUAUAUGGCCCCUGGAUUGGACUGCGGCCGAUCAGGCUGUUGGUGAGGUAAUGGCCCACCAAACCUGUAACCGGUAUGGGCUCUGAGAGGAGGAGCCCGGAGAUGGGCACUGAGACAAGGGCCCAGGCCCUAUGGGGCGCAGCAGGCGCGAAACCUCUGCAAUAGGCGAAAGCUUGACAGGGUUACUCUGAGUGAUUUCCGUUAAGGAGAUCUUUUGGCACCUCUAAAAAUGGUGCAGAAUAAGGGGUGGGCAAGUCUGGUGUCAGCCGCCGCGGUAAUACCAGCACCCCGAGUGGUCGGGACGUUUAUUGGGCCUAAAGCAUCCGUAGCCGGUUCUACAAGUCUUCCGUUAAAUCCACCUGCUUAACAGAUGGGCUGCGGAAGAUACUAUAGAGCUAGGAGGCGGGAGAGGCAAGCGGUACUCGAUGGGUAGGGGUAAAAUCUGUUGAUCCAUUGAAGACCACCAGUGGCGAAGGCGGCUUGCCAGAACGCGCUCGACGGUGAGGGAUGAAAGCUGGGGGAGCAAACCGGAUUAGAUACCCGGGUAGUCCCAGCUGUAAACGAUGCAGACUCGGUGAUGAGUUGGCUUAUUGCUAACUCAGUGCCGCAGGGAAGCCGUUAAGUUUGCCGCCUGGGGAGUACGGUCGCAAGACUGAAACUUAAAGGAAUUGGCGGGGGAGCAC